UUUGCCCCCCGCGCUGCACAGGGGCGACAUGGGGGGAGUGGGCACCAGCUCGAAUUUCUUCCAGAUGUCUUCGCUGGGGGCGGUGGAUCGGUAGAAAUCCUCCUCGGAGUCAUGGUCAUAGAAGUAAUGCUGCUAACGUCCUGGAAUGAAGAUGAACUAGUGUCCAAGAACUCUCAGUGCUUCCGCAGUGGGAGGUGAAAGCAGGAUGGUGCAGUGGUUAGAGCACUGUGCAUGAGCCCAGAGCCUCAUCAGCUUGUUGGCAUCGAGCUCCCACUGAUUUCUGAGCCUCUGGCGUAUCUACAUCAUCAUGGGGAUAAAAAUCCUGCAGCUGGUCUGGGUCAGCUGACUCAGGCGCCGAGACUUUUAUCCCCAGGUGGACAUACCUCUGUGCCUCAAUUCUUUAUCCGCAAAAUAGCAAUAAUCCCUACCUCUCCGGGGAUCAAAUAUUUUAACAGAUUGUAAGGCGCUCAGAUAGUCUGAUAAGAGGUGCCAUAUAAAUCUGUACCUAAGACAGGCAGAAAAAUGAUCACCUCCUCAAGGGAAUCCAAAGAGUGGGUACUGCACGCAGCUGAUCUCAGCUACUUUAUAUUGAACAAUGCACAUGGCUGUAUAGGACACUUCAAGCUAAUCCAACUUCCAUUAUUUUUCACAGAACAACAGGCAGGUACUAAAAUGGCCCAUACUAGAUCCAGACCCCACAUUGAAUCCAGAACCGAUUUACAAUAGAAUCUACAUAGAAUACAACUGAAUGAACAACCUCCUACCCUAAGCUGCUUAUUGGGUCAGAAUCUCUGAUUUAUCCUAGCCAGGUCUACAGUAUUAAAAAGCGCCACCAUCUGGCGACUAGCUGAAAUUGCACCCUCCAAAACGUUCCCCUUUUGUAACUGAAGUUACAUAAGGUUAAUUAAAAAGUUGGUUACACAAAAAAAAGGAAGUGGAUGUUACCAAAGAUCUAUUUUCACUUAAUUCUAAAUGUCAGGUUGAGAUGGGAUGGAAACUCCCUGUUGGUUUAAAGAAUAACAUUGACAAGAGGAAGAAGGGGAAAGUAAAAAGAAACUUAAUUGGAGAGGUAAAUAAGAUUUUUAGUUUAAGUAAACAUAGCAGCUUUCUUGCUUCUAGACCCCCAAAGUGGACAGGGACUUGCUGAAACCAUCCCAAACAGCUGCCCACUUCUGGAGUGCACCAGCCAGGAGCUCAAACUGACACAAACACCCCUACAGAACAGAACAGGAGUGGGAGGGAAAUAUUUUGGUAAAUAUUGGACAAACCGCUACAAAUAUGAAAACUGCCAAGAGAUCUUUAAACACCCAGGGAAAGCAGAGAGAACAUGGAAUGUUAAAGUCUCACACUGGCAGGCUCUCAGCUGACAUGCUCUGGAAAGAUGAAGGCUGAGCCAUACCAGAAAGAUCUUAAUCUGAAUUAGCACAUUGGGCCAAAUUCAUUCAAGGCAUAUAGAUAGAUUUAAAAAAAAAAAAAACCUUACAGUAUUCUAGCCCCAGAUCACCACAAUAUAAUAGGAAGCAUUCUAAUACUGUAUUUCAUUUUUAUAAGGGCCAUUGUCUCAAAUACUUCUGCCAAUUGUCAAGACAAUGAAUAUCUAUUCACCAGUGUAGUAUCUAAGCAAUGAGAAGUUUAAAGUUAGGCAGAUUAAACAGUCUCAAGAAAUUGAGGAAUAUUUAAGGCUUAAAGAAAGUGAUUGUGAUCCAACAUGGAAGGUAAAAACCCUUUGAGAUUAAA
This is a non-coding RNA of Chrysemys picta bellii (western painted turtle), 1737 nucleotides long. NCBI's taxonomy places the organism in Eukaryota, Metazoa, Chordata, Testudines, Emydidae. The record is from RefSeq and is a predicted model, not a curated record.